Macrobrachium nipponense is the source of this 412-nucleotide long non-coding RNA. RefSeq lists it as uncharacterized. The record is from RefSeq and is a predicted model, not a curated record. The transcript is spliced from 3 exons. NCBI's taxonomy places the organism in Eukaryota, Metazoa, Arthropoda, Malacostraca, Decapoda, Palaemonidae.
UUCAUGAACGCUUUGGUCUUUGUUGCAUAGCUUGUUUGAAUCUGCAUUUCCAUAGUCUUAAAGAAAUGGAUACAGCAAGUUUGGCACUUUUAUCAAGAGUUUAGGAAAACUUGUAGAGGUAAAGCCCUGAAAUGGAUUUUUUGGCAAAACAAAUGAGGAAAAAUUGAAUACGAACUCCAAAUGAAAAAUACGGAAAGUUUGCUGAAACAAAUGGCGCUGGAGGUAACUCACGUAGGUGUAUUCUAUAUAAAACUGUCCUCCGCCAAGAUCGCGACCAUUGCUUAAGAGGUUUUAAGAACUCCAAGGUGAGGAGAGGCGGAAUUUUAUUGCUUACGCUUUUUGGAAUCUUCACUAGUUGUCAAGGCCCAGAUCUUCAUGGAUGUUAAGUUAAAAGUAUAAUGUUAAUAAAUCU